GCAAUCGACAGUUUGACCUCAUGCUAGGGCAGCCUCAGCCAGUUGCCUCUUCUAUCAAAGUGCUGAUGGAAGACAUCCUGAGUCCUUAUUGCAUGCUAGAGAACAACAACUAUCUUGUUGGUGAUUCCCCUGAUAUUUGGUUCUACAAGUGUGGCAUAUGGACCAAUGAAAGCAAAGAUAUUCUGAAUGUAAUAGCUAUAUGGGUUGUGCCAAAUGGUUUAACAGUGGAAGCGUCACGCUUAAGUACCUGUGGAAGUGUACUAUGCAAGCAUUAUCAGACAAUGCAAUGACACCCUGUUUGUACAUUCACACCCUUUGAAUGCCGCAAUCAGACUAAGAAGAUGCCUAAA
Long non-coding RNA from Triticum dicoccoides, 350 nucleotides. RefSeq lists it as uncharacterized. The transcript is spliced from 2 exons. NCBI's taxonomy places the organism in Eukaryota, Viridiplantae, Streptophyta, Magnoliopsida, Poales, Poaceae. The record is from RefSeq and is a predicted model, not a curated record.